AGCGAACGCUGGCGGCAGGCCUAACACAUGCAAGUCGAGCGCCGUAGCAAUACGGAGCGGCAGACGGGAGAGUAACACGUGGGAACGUACCCUUCAGUACGGAACAACCAAGGGAAACUUUGGCUAAUACCGUAUACGUCCGUAAGGAGAAAGAUUUAUCGCUGAAGGAUCGGCCCGCGUCUGAUUAGCUAGUUGGUGAGGUAAAGGCACACCAAGGCGACGAUCUGUAGCGGGUCUGAGAGGAUGAUCCGCCACACUGGAACUGAGACACGGUCCAGACUCCUACGGGAGGCAGCAGUGGGGAAUUUUGGACAAUGGGGGCAACCCUGAUCCAGCCAUGCCGCGUGAGUGAUGAAGGCCCUAGGGUUGUAAAGCUCUUUCGACGGGGACGAUAAUGACGGUACCCGCAGAAGAAGCCCCGGCUAACUUCGUGCCAGCAGCCGCCGUAA
RNAcentral lists this ribosomal RNA (449 nucleotides) under uncultured bacterium. Its description in RNAcentral is "partial 16S ribosomal RNA". It matches the Rfam family "Bacterial small subunit ribosomal RNA", at positions 29 to 523 of the family's 1533-position model. The record is from RNAcentral.